GCAAAACUCACCAAAAUAAAAGCUGCACUGACAGUGGAGAAGAAAAAACAACUGUACUACGGGGAUCUGCAACACCAGAUUAUUAUUGGUCAAUCACUGCUCUCUCUCCUAAACUAAGAUGGAAUGGAUUUCUUUAAUAUUCAAGACUGUGAGCUAAGAUCAUCAGUGAAGACUCAGGAGUUCAAGCUUCCUGGAGUGGAUUCUUCAGAUUUCCAGACAACGAUUUUCUCCAAAAAAGUUGCACCAAGCAAAAAAUUACCUCAAUACACAUAAUGGCAAGGAAAUCUUUUGAAGAAAAAAUUGCAAAUGUUUUGGCAUACAUAAGGAGUAGCACAUAUCCUGAAGGAAUGAAUAAAGCAGGCAGACUGAACCUGCGUCGAUAUGCUGUCAACUUUUCAUUGGAAGAGGGGAGAUUGUUCCAUUCAGCAAAAGGAAGAAAGGUUGUCAUUGUGCAUACCAUGAAAGAAGCCCUGCAACUCUUUAAAAGGUAUCAUGACAGUCCAGAGGGUGGACAUCUAGGAAUAUUCAAAACCAGGAAUGCGCUGACAUCAAAAUACUAUUGGCCAGGGAUGACAGAAGACAUUGCCAAUUGGGUUGCACAGUGUCUGACUUGCCAGAAAGAGGGAAAGCAAUCAAAUCUGGAUACCACCUUGAAAAGCAUAAAGGUGAAUUUUUGAAUCAGACACGUUAUUGUUUAUCAUUAUCCAUGGUUAUUUCUGCAAUACAAUGAGGCUUUGAUUUUGAAACAAGUCCAAUGCAUGUAAGUGGCACAGCAUAGUGCAGCAAUUAC
Long non-coding RNA from Gopherus evgoodei (Goodes thornscrub tortoise), 790 nucleotides. RefSeq lists it as uncharacterized. The transcript is spliced from 6 exons. The record is from RefSeq and is a predicted model, not a curated record. Lineage: Eukaryota; Metazoa; Chordata; Testudines; Testudinidae.